Molecule: ribosomal RNA, 484 nt
Filed under: uncultured bacterium
Lineage: Bacteria
Description: partial 16S ribosomal RNA
Rfam family: Bacterial small subunit ribosomal RNA
Source: RNAcentral
AUUGAACGCUGGCGGCAGGCCUAACACAUGCAAGUCGAGCGGAUGAAGGGAGCUUGCUCCUGGAUUCAGCGGCGGACGGGUGAGUAAUGCCUAGGAAUCUGCCUGGUAGUGGGGGAUAACGUCCGGAAACGGGCGCUAAUACCGCAUACGUCCUGAGGGAGAAAGUGGGGGAUCUUCGGACCUCACGCUAUCAGAUGAGCCUAGGUCGGAUUAGCUAGUUGGUGGGGUAAAGGCCUACCAAGGCGACGAUCCGUAACUGGUCUGAGAGGAUGAUCAGUCACACUGGAACUGAGACACGGUCCAGACUCCUACGGGAGGCAGCGGUGGGGAAUAUUGGACAAUGGGCGAAAGCCUGAUCCAGCCAUGUCGCGUGUGUGAAGAAGGUCUUCGGAUUGUAAAGCACUUUAAGUUGGGAGGAAGGGCAGUAAGUUAAUACCUUGCUGUUUUGACGUUACCAACAGAAUAAGCACCGGCUAACUUCGUG